This 402-nucleotide ribosomal RNA is filed under the name uncultured bacterium. RNAcentral describes it as "bacterial SSU rRNA". It matches the Rfam family "Bacterial small subunit ribosomal RNA", at positions 355 to 774 of the family's 1533-position model. The record is from RNAcentral.
UGGGGAAUCUUGCACAAUGGGGGAAACCCUGAUGCAGCGACGCCGCGUGAGCGAUGAAGCCCUUCGGGGUGUAAAGCUCUUUCGGCAGGAACGAUUAUGACGGUACCUGCAGAAGAAGCUGCGGCUAACUACGUGCCAGCAGCCGCGGUAAUACGUAGGCAGCGAGCGUUGUUCGGAGUUACUGGGCGUAAAGAGUAUGUAGGCGGUUGCGUAAGUUCGGUGUGAAAUCUCCCGGCUUAACUGGGAGGGUGCGCCGAAAACUGCGUGGCUAGAGUGCGGGAGAGGAGAGCGGAAUUCCUGGUGUAGCGGUGAAAUGCGUAGAUAUCAGGAGGAACACCGGCGGUGUAGACGGCUCUCUGGACCGUUACUGACGCUGAGAUACGAAAGCGUGGGUAGCAAACA